Molecule: long non-coding RNA, 630 nt
Organism: Phlebotomus papatasi
Lineage: Eukaryota; Metazoa; Arthropoda; Insecta; Diptera; Psychodidae
Exons: 3
Source: RefSeq, a predicted model, not a curated record
UUUUUGAUCGGAAGUAUGUUUAAUACUCCUAUUAGACCAUUCUCCAUAGACAGCACACCGCAGCAUAAUUCCUAUAAUAAUAUAAGUAAUAAAAAUCGUGAUUAUAAUAUCCCCCAAGUUGAUAAAUAAUUUCAGAGGAAAUUCCAAGUCCAUUUUGACAUUUUGAGAGAAAAAGAAGAAAAAUGAAAGAGAAAAUUUGCUGCUAAAUGCUUCCCGGCGCCAUCUACCGGCAGUGUUUAGUUCUGCCAUCAUCCACUGCGAGCGCUAAACAGUGCCAUUUUCAUGUAUUUGCUUAGCACUUUUUGUUCGAGAGCUGCUGAUUGGCCAGCAGACCGAUUCAGCAAAAAAAUGCUGAAAAUCCUAUUUUAUUCUGCUAACUGUGCUCGCUGGGUAGUCCAUUGUUCCCCAAAAAGUUCAGUUGUCUCCUGAUGAUUGAAGAGUGUUUGGUGCUGUGUCUCCGAGAUCUUUGUGUGAGCACCCUGGAACCCUCCCGCCAAGGUUACACGAUCCCCCAAAUAACGAAACCCAGUGAUCUUUGACAUCACUCGACCACUGAGGAAGACACGGAGCGUGUCGAAAGCUCUGGUAGAAGAGUGAGUUUUCUGAUCUUAGGGUUGAAGACUCCACAGA